CACGUAGGGCGCAAGCGUUGUCCGGAAUUAUUGGGCGUAAAGAGCUCGUAGGCGGUCUGUUGCGUCCGCUGUGAAAACUCGGGGCUUAACCCCGAGCCUGCAGUGGAUACGGGCAGACUAGAGGUAGGUAGGGGAGAAUGGAAUUCCCGGUGUAGCGGUGAAAUGCGCAGAUAUCGGGAGGAACACCGGUGGCGAAGGCGGUUCUCUGGGUCUUACCUGACGCUGAGGAGCGAAAGCGUGGGGAGCGAACAGG
RNAcentral lists this ribosomal RNA (253 nucleotides) under uncultured bacterium. RNAcentral's name for it is "partial 16S ribosomal RNA". It matches the Rfam family "Bacterial small subunit ribosomal RNA", at positions 524 to 776 of the family's 1533-position model. The record is from RNAcentral.